CCAUCGGCAUCUCACCAUGUGCGCCGCAUCGCACGGCAGCCCGGAAGCAAACAGAACGACUACACUCACAAGGAACCAUGAAGCCAACGAUCCACGUCAACUAGAUGUUUUAGCUUUCAUUUUGUAUAACUGAUGUCUCAUACUUGCAUCUUUUGGCUGUCCUUUUGUAAACCUGAUGUAUGGUGUCUCAGUGGUUUUGUUUAGAACAGAUUGAAAUGUAUGUAUGUGUCAAUUACUUAAUGGAAUAAAAAAUGUUUGAUGGUCCCGAUGUGAGCCUGA
This is a non-coding RNA of Triticum urartu, 279 nucleotides long. The record is from RefSeq and is a predicted model, not a curated record. NCBI's taxonomy places the organism in Eukaryota, Viridiplantae, Streptophyta, Magnoliopsida, Poales, Poaceae.